UCCAUUGCUCAGUUGGUAGAGCACAAGGCUGUUAACCUUGUGGUCAUGGGUUCAAGCCCCAUGAUGGAG
This is a non-coding RNA of Triticum urartu, 69 nucleotides long. NCBI's taxonomy places the organism in Eukaryota, Viridiplantae, Streptophyta, Magnoliopsida, Poales, Poaceae. The record is from Rfam.